CUUUGAUCUGCCACUACCCGCCGGCUACGUUCAGUUACCUCACAUCCGCGAUCGAAAUUGGACGGAGCUGAUGGACCGCAGGCAGUGUUCCGUUUGGGUGCUACGGUCUUGCUGGUCAGAAAGGCAACGAGCGGCAGAUUCUGAAGCGAUGAUUUCGGAGCAGAACCUUUGAAGGUGCGGAACGCGUGUACCUUCGACGAAGAGACACGACGGCCACUGCAGUUUUCUUCGCAUCUCCCGCAGAAACGGCCAGGACUUCAAAAGCAUGGGCUGCUUCCAUUCGUGCUGCUCAUCCGAGGAGACUGAACCGCAACGUCCUUUGUUGGCAGGUUCCGACUCCACCUCCAGCGUGUUCGGAUCGGUCGUUCACAGCAACAGCGACAUGAACGAACGUGUCCUGGAACUGCCAGAAGUAACCACAAGACAGAGGUCGGUGACCUUCACCGAAGGCACAGACACAGCUGCCAUGGGCAUUGACCACGGAGUAAGCAGGCUUCGUGCUUGGUCGUACGGAGGAUCCCGCGGCCACUACAGCUUGGCCUCCAGCGGCACUAGCACCCUGACCAUUGGCUUAAAGUACGGUUGCAGCACGGACACGCUGACCGAGGAUGACGGCGUCGGCGUGGCUGCACAACAGACAUCAGUGCUUGAAUGAACUGUUCGUCGACGAAUCUUGCUAUGUCUUCCGAAUUAAACGUUUGUUCGUCCAAUCGUUGCCUACUAACCUCGUUAUGUUCACCAGCGAAUUACCCCAUUUCAUCUGCUGUGCAGAAGAAAUUACUGUUUUUCAUCGGAAUGGAAGUGUUUCGCAAGAAUACGUAAAUACUCAUGCUGGAAGACCAGUGACACGACAACCACUGGCGCUUAUCCGCAAGUUCGCGUGACAUACGCCACUAUACAUGGAAUAAAGCUUUGCUUUUAACAUUUUA
This is a long non-coding RNA of Dermacentor albipictus, 929 nucleotides long. RefSeq lists it as uncharacterized. The record is from RefSeq and is a predicted model, not a curated record. Lineage: Eukaryota; Metazoa; Arthropoda; Arachnida; Ixodida; Ixodidae.